ACUUAAAUAGUUUAAAUAAAACGUUAAUUUGUGGAAUUAGAGAUAUAAAAAUAAAUAUUUUAAGUU
This 66-nucleotide transfer RNA is filed under the name Hydatophylax nigrovittatus. Its description in RNAcentral is "tRNA-His". The record is from RNAcentral. Lineage: Eukaryota; Metazoa; Arthropoda; Insecta; Trichoptera; Limnephilidae.